ACAGCAGUCGCCGCGGUAAGACAGAGGAUGCAAGCGUUAUCCGGAAUGAUUGGGCGUAAAGGGCUCGCAGGCGGUUUCUUAAGUCUGAUGUGAAAGCCCCCGGCUCAACCGGGGAGGGUCAUUGGAAACUGGGAAACUUGAGUGCAGAAGAGGAGAGUGGAAUUCCACGUGUAGCGGUGAAAUGCGUAGAGAUGUGGAGGAACACCAGUGGCGAAGGCGACUCUCUGGUCUGUAACUGACGCUGAGGAGCGAAAGCGUGGGGAGCGAACAGGAUUAGAUACCCCAGUAGUCCCUGUCUCUUAUAA
This 305-nucleotide ribosomal RNA is filed under the name uncultured bacterium. Its description in RNAcentral is "partial 16S ribosomal RNA". It matches the Rfam family "Bacterial small subunit ribosomal RNA", at positions 508 to 809 of the family's 1533-position model. The record is from RNAcentral.